UGGGGAAUAUUGCACAAUGGGGGAAACCCUGAUGCAGCGACGCCGCGUGAACGAAGAAGGUAUUCGUAUCGUAAAGUUCUGUCCUAUGGGAAGAUAAUGACAGUACCAUAGAAGAAAGCUCCGGCUAAAUACGUGCCAGCAGCCGCGGUAAUACGUAUGGAGCGAGCGUUGUCCGGAAUUAUUGGGCGUAAAGGGUACGCAGGCGGUUUAAUAAGUCGAAUGUUAAAGAUCGGGGCUCAACCCCGUAAAGCAUUGGAAACUGAUAAACUUGAGUAGUGGAGAGGAAAGUGGAAUUCCUAGUGUAGUGGUGAAAUACGUAGAGAUUAGGAGGAAUACCAGUAGCGAAGGCGACGUUCUGGACACAAACUGACGCUGAGGUACGAAAGCGUGGGGAGCAAACAGG
Molecule: ribosomal RNA, 403 nt
Filed under: bacterium
Lineage: Bacteria
Description: partial 16S ribosomal RNA
Rfam family: Bacterial small subunit ribosomal RNA
Source: RNAcentral